AACCCGGUGUUUUUCAACACCACCUUCAUUAAAUACCAGCUCGUA
Molecule: non-coding RNA, 45 nt
Organism: Gonium pectorale
Lineage: Eukaryota; Viridiplantae; Chlorophyta; Chlorophyceae; Chlamydomonadales; Volvocaceae
Source: Rfam